UAUUAAAUAUCUUAAAGUAAGAAUUGAUUUUUUAAUUCAAAUAAUAAUAAUUUAACGUUUAUUUUUAAUAA
RNAcentral lists this transfer RNA (71 nucleotides) under Homolobus sp. QL-2013. RNAcentral's name for it is "tRNA-Lys". Lineage: Eukaryota; Metazoa; Arthropoda; Insecta; Hymenoptera; Braconidae. The record is from RNAcentral.